Molecule: ribosomal RNA, 437 nt
Filed under: uncultured Oscillospiraceae bacterium
Lineage: Bacteria; Bacillati; Bacillota; Clostridia; Eubacteriales; Oscillospiraceae
Description: partial 16S ribosomal RNA
Rfam family: Bacterial small subunit ribosomal RNA
Source: RNAcentral
ACGGAAGGCAGCAGUGGGGAAUAUUGGGCAAUGGGCGAAAGCCUGACCCAGCAAUGCCGCGUGAAGGAAGAAGGUCUUCGGAUUGUAAACUUCUUUUAUGAGGGACGAAGGAUUUGACGGUACCUCAUGAAUAAGCCACGGCUAACUACGUGCCAGCAGCCGCGGUAAUAUGUAGGUGGCAAGCGUUAUCCGGAUUUACUGGGUGUAAAGGGCGCGUAGGCGGGGAAGCAAGUCAGAUGUGAAAUCUAUGGGCUUAACUCAUAAACUGCAUUUGAAACUGUUUCUCUUGAGUGCUGGAGAGGUAGAUGGAAUUCCUAGUGUAGCGGUGAAAUGCGUAGAUAUUAGGAAGAACACCAGUGGCGAAGGCGAUCUACUGGACAGUAACUGACGCUGAGGCGCGAAAGCGUGGGGAGCAAACAGGAUUAGAUACCCUGGUA